Molecule: unclassified non-coding RNA, 63 nt
Filed under: Paraburkholderia diazotrophica
Lineage: Bacteria; Pseudomonadati; Pseudomonadota; Betaproteobacteria; Burkholderiales; Burkholderiaceae
Source: RNAcentral
GGGAGCCGAAUGAGCCGAGAGGUUCACGUUCGGUUCAGGUUAAUUUGUUUAUUUUCGCGAAGU